CCUACGGGUGACAGCAGUAGGGAAUAUUGCUCAAUGGGGGAAACUCUGAAGCAGCAACGCCGCGUGGAGGAUGAAGGUUUUAGGAUUGUUAACUCCUUUUGUUAGAGAAGAUUAUGACGGUAUCUAUCGAAUAAGCACCGGCUAACGCCGUGCCAGCAGCCGCGGUAAUACGGAGGGUGCAAGCGUUACUCGGAAUCACUGGGCGUAAAGAGUGCGUAGGCGGGGUAAUAAGUCAGAUGUGAAAUCCUGUAGCUUAACUACAGAACUGCAUUUGAAACUGUUACUCUGGAGUGUGGGAGAGGUAGGUGGAAUUCUUGGUGUAGGGGUAAAAUCCGUAGAGAUCAAGAAGAAUACUCAUUGCGAAGGCGACCUGCUGGAACAUUACUGACGCUGAUGCACGAAAGCGUGGGGAGCAAACAGGAUUAGAUACCCGUGUAGUC
RNAcentral lists this ribosomal RNA (440 nucleotides) under uncultured bacterium. RNAcentral's name for it is "partial 16S ribosomal RNA". It matches the Rfam family "Bacterial small subunit ribosomal RNA", at positions 338 to 795 of the family's 1533-position model. The record is from RNAcentral.